RNAcentral lists this ribosomal RNA (398 nucleotides) under uncultured bacterium. Its description in RNAcentral is "bacterial SSU rRNA". It matches the Rfam family "Bacterial small subunit ribosomal RNA", at positions 28 to 431 of the family's 1533-position model. The record is from RNAcentral.
GACGAACGCUGGCGGCGUGCUUAACACAUGCAAGUCGAGCGGUAAGGCCCUUUCGGGGGUACACGAGCGGCGAACGGGUGAGUAACACGUGGGUGACCUGCCCUCAGCUCUGGGAUAAGCCUGGGAAACUGGGUCUAAUACUGGAUAUGACUCCACGGUGCAUGUCGUGGGGUGGAAAGCCUUGUGCGGCUGAGGAUGGGCCCGCGGCCUAUCAGCUUGUUGGUGGGGUGANGGCCUACCAAGGCGACGACGGGUAGCCGGCCUGAGAGGGCGACCGGCCACACUGGGACUGAGACACGGCCCAGACUCCUACGGGAGGCAGCAGUGGGGAAUCUUGCGCAAUGGGCGAAAGCCUGACGCAGCGACGCCGCGUGAGGGAUGACGGCCUGGUGUAACUC